UCCUAUCGGUAAGUUUCUGACAGC
This 24-nucleotide microRNA is filed under the name Lotus japonicus. Its description in RNAcentral is "lja-miR11153-5p". The record is from miRBase by way of RNAcentral. Lineage: Eukaryota; Viridiplantae; Streptophyta; Magnoliopsida; Fabales; Fabaceae.